Molecule: non-coding RNA, 30 nt
Filed under: Rattus norvegicus (Norway rat)
Lineage: Eukaryota; Metazoa; Chordata; Mammalia; Rodentia; Muridae
Source: RNAcentral
UACCUGUGUUCCCCUCUCAGCACUGGUCCA